This 450-nucleotide ribosomal RNA is filed under the name uncultured bacterium. RNAcentral describes it as "partial 16S ribosomal RNA". It matches the Rfam family "Bacterial small subunit ribosomal RNA", at positions 29 to 506 of the family's 1533-position model. The record is from RNAcentral.
GUGAACGCUUGCAGUAUGCUUAACACAUGCUAGUUUUUAAGUUUUUAAAACUUGGCGUACAGGUGCGGAAUGGUUAAAUUUUACCUUAAAUAAGAAAAUAAUCCAUAUUGAUAUUAAAUCAAUAACGUGAAAAAAUUUUGUAAAGGUUAAACACCAGUUUAAGAGAGAUUUAAUUUGGUAUUAGGUUGUUGGUAUGGUUAAAGCGUACCAAGCUGAUGAUCCCUAACUGGUUAGAGAUAAUGUUCCAGUCACAUUGGAACUGAGACAAGGACCAAGCUUUUGCCAGCAGUGGGGAAUAUUGGACAAUGAGCUAUGCUUGAUCCAGCAAUAUUGCUUAAAUGAGGAAAAUGAAAAAGGUAUGAGAAGUAAUGAAUCGCGUACCGUUUGUAAAGUUUUAGAUUUAAAAAAUGAAAAUGACGUUUUUUAAAAAAAAGCCCCGGCUAAUCUCGU